UGCCAGACUCCUACGGGAGGCAGCAGUGAGGAAUAUUGGUCAAUGGGCGCGAGCCUGAACCAGCCAAGUCGCGUGAGGGAAGACGGUCCUAUGGAUUGUAAACCUCUUUUGUCGGGGAGCAAAAGACGCCACGCGUGGCGUUCCGAGAGUACCCGAAGAAAAAGCAUCGGCUAACUCCGUACCAGCAGCCGCGGUAAUACGGAGGAUGCGAGCGUUAUCCGGAUUUAUUGGGUUUAAAGGGUGCGUAGGCUGUGAGGUAAGUCAGCGGUGAAAUGCCCCCGCUCAACGGGGUGAAGUGCCAUUGAUACUGCCUUGCUGGAAUGCGGAUGCCGUGGGAGGAAUGUGUGGUGUAGCGGUGAAAUGCAUAGAUAUCACACAGAACACCGAUUGCGAAGGCAUCUCACGAAUCCGCGAUUGACGCUGAUGCACGAAAGCGUGGGUAUCAAACAGGAUUAGAUACCCCGGUA
RNAcentral lists this ribosomal RNA (467 nucleotides) under uncultured bacterium. RNAcentral's name for it is "bacterial SSU rRNA". It matches the Rfam family "Bacterial small subunit ribosomal RNA", at positions 329 to 792 of the family's 1533-position model. The record is from RNAcentral.